AUAGAGCUGCAGGGCUGCUGCGGCGGCGGCGUGACGGCCGCCGACCUCGGGCGCGAAGUGACAGUCGUAGUAAGUGGGAUUGAUGGCCUCGCCCGCCGCCGCCGCCGCCGCAGCCGCCGCCUUGUACUUGGAGUACAGCGGGUUCACGAAGUACGAACUCAUUGGGGCGUCAGCGGCGGCGGCCCCGGGCGGGCGGGCGGCGCUAAGCAGCCAGAGAGCGAGCCUCGACUCGGCCGCACUGCCGCGGGGGCCUGUGGGGCGGCUGCUCUCGCCGCCGGGACCGCCGGGCUACGUCGCUGCUGCCGCCCGCCCGCGCUCGCGCGUCGCUUCUGAGGCCAGGCAGCCGCGGGCGCUCAGCUACUGGGCGCUCAUGCCCGGCUCUUGCGCCCGCCGCCUCGGCUUCGCGCCGCCUCCCUCGCGGGUCGCGGGGCCUCGCCCAGCCCCCGCGCGCCGCCGCCCUCCCGGCCUUUCCCGGCGCGCCCCGGCUCGGCCGCAAUAUAAUCGCCGACGCCCCAGGCGACCUGCCCCGCUGCCUCCACUGUUUCCUCUCAGGCACCAGUGACUGAGCGCACCCGGACAAGAAAAAAGUGCGCUCGGCCCACGGGGACACUCUGGCCUCGGUUUACAAACCCCGGCUCUGGAGGGAAAAGAAAAAAAACACCCUCUGCCCGCCGCCACCUCUUACCGCGCCCCCCCCGCGCCCCCCUCCCGCCAAUCUCGCCCCCGCCGCCGAGGCUGCCGACCCGGUGCGCACCGGCGAGGCAUUUUCGCACCACAGCACUGCACGGAAAGUCAGCGUGACGGGGACGAGGAGCCCCGCGGAGGGAUCCGCGCGCAGUUCAGUCGCUACGGCCGACGGACGGAGCGCCGCGCCCGGCCCGAGAUGCCUCCGCCGGCCUUAAAGGGGGCCCAUAAAGACGCACUGCCAAGGGCUCCGUGUGCCCCGGGGCCGCGGGAAUGCGGAUCGCAGCCGGCAGGGAGGGGCCGCGGCGGAGCCUUAGACUUGGGGGAGCCAAGGAGGCCACUCCCAGGAGGCUGCGGAGCAAAUGACUGCCUCCCCGAGCCCCUGGCUGCAAAAGCAGAGGUUGCCCGUGGCUUUUGCAGCUCUGGACACGCGGGUGCAGCCCAGGGAACGUGGACAAGAGGUGUUGACGGACCGGACCGUGCAUUUGAGUUGGGGCAUAUCGAAGUGGUUUAAUUAAAAGCCGCGAGUGUGGCCCCAGAUCCUGGCGUUAUCAAAGCAAAUCAAAGCCUUUCUUUUCCAGCCGAGCGGGCCCUGUGGAAAUGAGAUGUACAUUUACCCUUGACGCACCGCAAGCCUGGCCGAGGCUCUCAGGUUAAUUGAUAUUUAAUGGAAAUCAUGCCCAUGAAUAUAGUUUCCAUCAUUUCACCCUUGAUAGACGUCAGCCCUGGGCGCAGGGGGAGGCUGAAGAAUGCAGGAGGGGGCAUUAGGCUUGCUGAGAGAGUAAAUAGAAGAGCGGACAGAAACGUUCUGAGGCGGGAAAAAGGGCUCGCGCUGGGGAGGGUGACAUUUCCUCGGGCAGGACGCGGCUCCCGGGUCUCAGCCCCGGCGCGCAGCGAACCAGGGCCGGCUGCGGUUCCCGGAGGAGUGCGGAGGGCAGACGACCGCAAGUUCCCCCCAGGAGCCUCCCAGCCGGCGUUCAGAUCGCGCCGGUUCCAGGCAGCUGCAGGCGGCCCAUCUUAUGCUAACGAUCCUACUUCCUCCGCCAAGCCUGUGAAAUUACUGCCGAGAGAGCGCGCAGGCCUCAAAGUUACGAAUUUUUCCCAAAGCAGAGAAAGAGAAGGCUCAGCCUAGUUUGUGAGCAGAGAUGAAGAAAAGUUGCCCGAGUCAUGUGGCCCAGUCGAGUGUGAAUCGACAAAAUAUUCCCGAUUUUAGCAGCUCUCUCCAAAGCUGUCUGGCUUUACCCUACCAACCGCCUCCCCACACACUUCCUUUCCCUCUCUGCUCCCGUUUCAAUGUCCAAUAAAUGCAAUGGUUCUCUGUUGUGUGUGUGUGUUUUCCCCUCUCCUGCUCGGCCUUUCUCGUGGGCUCUUUGGGUGACUGAGCCCCGUUUCCUUCGGGAUAGGUACAAUGUCGUGAGGGCGCCAGGCCCACAGCCUUGGAAAUAGACCUCCAAGGCGCCCCUGCUCAAGCUAAACGCACCACGCCGGCUUUCCACACCAAAUGCAAAUUUCCGAAAACCCCAGACGGCCUCAGAGAUGCUGCAGGCUGGCGAGCGAUUUCAGCUACCCCUAGCUCCUUGUGGGUUGGCCCAGCCUGCGAGCGCGAUCCUGACUUGUGUCCGGGUGGACUGAAAUAUCAUUUUUACAAAUGGAGAAAAUGAGAUCGAGAUGGACAGACAUAGCAAGGUGAUAAUGUCCGACUCAAUUAUUUCUACUGGGAAUGACUGAAAGGUAAAGGAAUCGUUAAUGAAUCUGGAGAUGACAGAGGCAUGCUUUAUUUAAUUUUUAAAUUAGUAAGGAGUGCAGACUUGGGGUGGUGGAGAGCAAGGGUUUUUUUGUUGUUGUUGCUGUUUGUUUUUGUGGGGUUUUUUUUCUGCUGGUUAUUGCCAAGUAUAAUGACUUUCUUUAAAUCCGAAGGCGAACGAAUUGAUUCUGACAAUUAAGGAUUUGUCCUUCAAUCUUGCAAAUGCCCAAUUAAAAGAUUAUUAUUGUCAAUAAAGCCUUGGAGCUACCUUUGUAA
This is a long non-coding RNA of Homo sapiens (human), 2704 nucleotides long. RefSeq lists it as uncharacterized. The record is from RefSeq and is marked validated. The transcript has a single exon. NCBI's taxonomy places the organism in Eukaryota, Metazoa, Chordata, Mammalia, Primates, Hominidae.